AUGUCCGGUUCCUUUGGGGGAUGGAUCCUAAAGAGUUCGCCUAUCCCAAUAACAAAGAAACCAGACUUAAAUGAUCCUAUAUUAAAAGCUGAAUUAGCUAAAGGGAUGGGACAUAAUUGUUACAGGGAACCCACAUGUCCCAACGAUCUUUCAUAUAUUUUUCCAGUAGUAAUUCUAGGUACUGUUGCAUGUAAUGUAGGUUUAGUGGUUCUCGAGCCAUCAAUGAUUGGUGAACCGGCAGAUCCGUUUGGUUUAGAUCCAUCUUAA
This 267-nucleotide ribosomal RNA is filed under the name Triticum aestivum (bread wheat). RNAcentral's name for it is "partial small subunit ribosomal RNA". Lineage: Eukaryota; Viridiplantae; Streptophyta; Magnoliopsida; Poales; Poaceae. The record is from RNAcentral.